UAGCAUAUCAAUAAGCGGAGGAAAAGAAACCAACAGGGAUUGCCCUAGUAACGGCGAGUGAAGCGGCAACAGCUCAAAUUUGAAAUCUGGCUCUCUUUGGGGGUCCGAGUUGUAAUUUGCAGAGGAUGCUUUGGCAUUGGCGGCGGUCUAAGUUCCUUGGAACAGGACAUCGCAGAGGGUGAGAAUCCCGUACGUGGGCGCCUGCCUUUGCCGUGUAAAGCUCCUUCGACGAGUCGAGUUGUUUGGGAAUGCAGCUCUAAAUGGGAGGGUAAAUUUCUUCUAAAGCUAAAUACCGGCCAGAGACCGAUAGCGCACAAGUAGAGUGAUCGAAAGAUGAAAAGUACUUUGGAAAGAGAGUCAAAAAGCACGUGAAAUUGUUGAAAGGGAAGCGCUUGCAGCCAGACUUGCCCGCAGUUGCUCACCUAGGCUUUGGCCUGGGGCACUCUUCUGCGGGCAGGCCAGCAUCAGUUUGGGCGGUUGGAUAAAGGCCUCUGUCACGUAUCUUCCUUCGGGAUGACCUUAUAGGGGAGGCGUAAUGCAACCAGCCCGGACUGAGGUCCGCGCAUCUGCUAGGAUGCUGGCGUAAUGGCUGUAAGCGGCCCGUCUUGAAACACGGACCAAGGAGUCUAACAUCUAUGCGAGUGUUUGGGUGUCAAGCCCGGGCGCGCAAUGAAAGUGAACGGAGGUGGGAACCCUCUGGGUGCACCAUCGACCGAUCCUGAUGUCUUCGGAUGGAUUUGAGUAAGAGCAUAGCUGUUGGGACCCGAAAGAUGGUGAACUAUGCUUGAAUAGGGUGAAGCCAGAGGAAACUCUGGUGGAGGCUCGCAGCGGUUCUGACGUGCAAAUCGAUCGUCAAAUUUGGGCAUAGGGGCGAAAGACUAAUCGAACCAUCUAGUAGCUGGUUCCUGCCGA
This 912-nucleotide ribosomal RNA is filed under the name Pseudocamarosporium africanum. RNAcentral describes it as "eukaryotic LSU rRNA". It matches the Rfam family "Eukaryotic large subunit ribosomal RNA", at positions 36 to 964 of the family's 3401-position model. The record is from RNAcentral. Lineage: Eukaryota; Fungi; Ascomycota; Dothideomycetes; Pleosporales; Didymosphaeriaceae.